GAUGAACGCUAGCUACAGGCUUAACACAUGCAAGUCGAGGGGAAACGGCAUUAAGUGCUUGCACUUUUUGGACGUCGACCGGCGCACGGGUGAGUAACGCGUAUCCAACCUUCCCAUGACUAAGGGAUAACCUGCCGAAAGGCAGACUAAUACCUUAUGGUCUUCACUGACGGCAUCAGAUGUGAAGUAAAGAUUUAUCGGUUAUGGAUGGGGAUGCGUCUGAUUAGCUUGUUGGCGGGGUAACGGCCCACCAAGGCAACGAUCAGUAGGGGUUCUGAGAGGAAGGUCCCCCACAUUGGAACUGAGACACGGUCCAAACUCCUACGGGAGGCAGCAGUGUGGAAUAUUGGUCAAUGGGCGAGAGCCUGAACCAGCCAAGUAGCGUGCAGGAUGACGGCCCUAUGGGUUGUAAACUGCUUUUGUAUGGGGAUAAAGUCAAUCACGUGUGAUUGUUUGCAGGUACCAUACGAAUAAGGACCGGCUAAUUCCGUG
This 492-nucleotide ribosomal RNA is filed under the name uncultured bacterium. Its description in RNAcentral is "partial 16S ribosomal RNA". It matches the Rfam family "Bacterial small subunit ribosomal RNA", at positions 28 to 507 of the family's 1533-position model. The record is from RNAcentral.